This 447-nucleotide ribosomal RNA is filed under the name uncultured bacterium. RNAcentral's name for it is "bacterial SSU rRNA". It matches the Rfam family "Bacterial small subunit ribosomal RNA", at positions 355 to 825 of the family's 1533-position model. The record is from RNAcentral.
UCGGGAAUUUUGGGCAAUGGGCGAAAGCCUGACCCAGCAACGCCGCGUGAAGGAUGAAGUAUUUCGGUAUGUAAACUUCGAAAGAAUAGGAAGAAUAAAUGACGGUACUAUUUAUAAGGUCCGGCUAACUACGUGCCAGCAGCCGCGGUAAUACGUAGGGACCAAGCGUUGUUCGGAUUUACUGGGCGUAAAGGGCACGUAGGCGGCAAUUCAAGUCAUCUGUGAAAUCUCCGGGCUUAACCCGGAACGGUCAGAUGAUACUGCUUUGCUAGAGUGCAGAAGGGGCAAUCGGAAUUCUUGGUGUAGCGGUGAAAUGCGUAGAUAUCAAGAGGAACACCUGAGGUGAAGACGGGUUGCUGGGCUGACACUGACGCUGAGGCGCGAAAGCCAGGGGAGCAAACGGGAUUAGAUACCCAGGUAGUCCCUGAGCGGGCUGGCAAGGCGCAU